This 699-nucleotide long non-coding RNA is filed under the name Mytilus galloprovincialis (Mediterranean mussel). Lineage: Eukaryota; Metazoa; Mollusca; Bivalvia; Mytilida; Mytilidae. The record is from RNAcentral.
GUGUGUCUCCCUUCUGCACUCGUAAAACGAAACUAAGGUCAAGUUUGCUAUCCAUAUUUAUAUAUAAACAAGAUGUAAGUCUAGUCAAUUUCACUUCGUAAAAUUCGACUUUUGUCUUAAAACUCAGGCUUUGUGUAAUCCUAUUUUUGUAUGUAUUAAUCAUUCAGGGAAGAAAAAACAUGUCAAACGUAUGCAAUAAUCUGUCCAAAUGAGGAAGGAAAAACUGGUAUAUUUAGGACAAACAGGCGAUACACUGUAUCAAAGGAUGUUGCUGAACUUUUAAAACAUAAGAACAAACAAAACAGACAAUCCAGUGGCAACCCACUUGAUUCAACAUAAUCAUUAGAUUAAAAUUCUAAGGGGAACUGCAGCGAAAAGAGUAUAUGGCUCAGAAAUUUACCGAAAAAUUAAAGAAACCUUAUGGAUCAAAUUAUUAAAAACUUAACAUCGUGACGGACUGAACACUUUGUACGAACGAUAUUGAAAAAAAUAUGAAAAAAGAAAAAGUGCGGCAAAUGAACGUCAUAUAAGUUAUUGUAACGAAAUGAACAUGUAUCAAAGCGAUGUAAUUGUUGUUUACAUUUUAAGUGAUUACUGAGAUCUUGCUGUGCAAUUACUAUCAUGCCUUAGUCUUUGUCUAUGAAAUAACUUUAUACAUUGGAGUUAUCUUCCCGUGCAUUUUGUUGCAAUUUAAAACUG